AUGCCGAUGGCGAUGGGGCAAGCCACAGAACAACCAAGCCGCGUCACAACCGCCGCCGGAGACCUCUACAACAAGACCAAAACUCGAAGCCAACACAAACCAACGUACCCCACCCAUUGCGCCAAGAAUAAGUCGGCAAGUGGACGGCAGGGCCUGGGCGGACCUAGAGACGGCGUCAUUGAGAGAGCGCCCGUGAUGGUGUACAUUGCGCCAAGGAGGCCCAUGCCCAUAGUAGCAGCCGACACCGAAGUGAGCCGUGCCACCGGAACUCCUCGGGCAACAAGACGACGCCUUCAAAAAGGGAACGACGCCAUGGCGCCGCCGUCGCCUGGUGCAAAGAACGGACCAAGGGUUUCCCCUGAGCACGAGGAAGGGAGUUGGAUCGGGGCCAAAGCAACGCCUCCAGGGAGGGGACGGCGUCCACAGACGUCACCGUUGCAAGCCUCGACGUCGCGAAGCAGGGAUUUCUCCCAGCGCAAGAUCACAAACCCAAACUUCCGGAGCUGCUCAAUCGAGCCGACCACCACGAUGGGAGGUGUCGUAACACGCAGCACAUCAGCCUACCAGCCUCCACCAUCUUCAACGCCCUGGCCAGUGCCACCGCGGCCAAGGACAACUCCUCCACAUCCACCACCACCACAGUCACGCAUCCAUCCCACCACCAACCUCCUCCUCCACGGAGUGGCAGCCUCCUCCAACCUCCAGCCGCAGCCAAGGCAGGCCGUGUCAAACCAGACGGGAGGGAAGACCCCCUCGAGCUGCUGCCUCCGCCUGAACCACCACCGGCACCGCUCCUCGCCCGAGCCACCCCGAGCCCGCAGCCGACGCCGGGUUCACACCCAGCCAGAACCGCGGCCGCGGCGCCCUACCAGUGCUCCUGCGCACCACCAUGGAGGCCAGCCACUAGCUGCCCGCGGCCGCCGCCGCGCAGCACCACCGUCCCGCGCACGACGCCAGAGCCCAGAUCCGGCAAGACCGCGCCAUCCCUGUGGCCGAAGCCGUCACCGCCGUCGAGCGGACCACCCGAGCUGCCGCGCACCGGCCAGCUCGUCCCGGGGCCGCCGCCCCGGCCUCCUCGCGCUGGUCCGCCAGCCGCCGCCGUCCCAGUCAACAGGACUGGCCUCCAGCGCUGCCCUGGGAGAGGGAGAGAGCAUCCCCGCCACCUUCGGCAGCAGGGCCCGCCACAACCGCGGCGAAGGCCGGUGGCAGCGGCGGCGAACGGGAGCAGGGCAGGGGGGCUUGAGCGGCGGCGGCACUAGGGUUUCCCUGGCGUCCCCUGGGAGCGACGCGAGGGAUAUGUCAUUCUAG
This 1308-nucleotide ribosomal RNA is filed under the name Triticum aestivum (bread wheat). RNAcentral's name for it is "partial small subunit ribosomal RNA". Lineage: Eukaryota; Viridiplantae; Streptophyta; Magnoliopsida; Poales; Poaceae. The record is from RNAcentral.